AUUGAACGCUGGCGGUAGGCCUAACACAUGCAAGUCGAACGGCAGCACAGUAAGAGCUUGCUCUUACGGGUGGCGAGUCGCAGACGGGUGAGGAAUACAUCGGAAUCUACUUUUUCGUGGGGGAAAACGUAGGGAAACUUACGCUAAUACCGCAUACGACCUACGGGUGAAAGCAGGGCAUCUUCGGACCUUGCGCGAUUAUAUGAGCCGAUGUCGGAUUAGCUAGUUGGCGGGGUAAAGUCCCACCACGGCGACGAUCCGUAGCUGGUCUGAGAGGAUGAUCAGCCACACUGGAACUGAGACACGGUACAGACGCCUACGGGAGGCAGCAGUGGGGAAUAUUGGACAAUGGGCGCAAGCCUGAUCCAGCCAUGCCGCGUGGGUGAAGAAGGCCUUCGGGUUGUAAAGCCCUUUUGUUGGGGAAGAAAAGCAGCAGGUUAAUACCCCGCUGUUCUGACGGUACCCAAAGAAGAAGCACCGGCUAACUUCGUG
This 492-nucleotide ribosomal RNA is filed under the name uncultured bacterium. RNAcentral describes it as "partial 16S ribosomal RNA". It matches the Rfam family "Bacterial small subunit ribosomal RNA", at positions 30 to 507 of the family's 1533-position model. The record is from RNAcentral.